UAAUAUUGUGUGUAUUCAUUAUUUUGUUUUAUAGAGGAUUCGCCGGAAGAGACCAACGCGAUCCCUUUAACCCAAUCGCAGUCUGAUUUUCCGUUUACAUCUCUUGCUCACUGGUCUCCCUUAACGCUGGAGGGUCCGUCAACGGCCAUUCCAGGCAGAGGAGAAGGCUUGAUUGCGCCAAAGACUCCAGACAUCGAAUCCUUGCUCCGUGGGGAAAUCAUCGAAAACGACGGUGAAUGUCCAACAGGCACCCGCUGUAAGUUUUUCUCGUUUUCUGUAAGCUUUUUAAGAUUCUCAGGAGCUUUAAAGAGCUCCUCUCAUUCCAAUGUCUUUCGCUCAAA
Nerophis ophidion (straightnose pipefish) is the source of this 341-nucleotide long non-coding RNA. RefSeq lists it as uncharacterized. Lineage: Eukaryota; Metazoa; Chordata; Actinopteri; Syngnathiformes; Syngnathidae. The record is from RefSeq and is a predicted model, not a curated record. The transcript is spliced from 2 exons.